GACGAACGCUGGCGGCGUGCUUAACACAUGCAAGUCGAACGGAAAGGCCCUGCUUUUGUGGGGUGCUCGAGUGGCGAACGGGUGAGUAACACGUGAGUAACCUGCCCUUGACUUUGGGAUAACUUCAGGAAACUGGGGCUAAUACCGGAUAGGAGCUCCUGCUGCAUGGUGGGGGUUGGAAAGUUUCGGCGGUUGGGGAUGGACUCGCGGCUUAUCAGCUUGUUGGUGGGGUAGUGGCUUACCAAGGCUUUGACGGGUAGCCGGCCUGAGAGGGUGACCGGCCACAUGGGGACUGAGAUACGGACCAGAGUCCUACGGGAGGCAGCAGUGGGGAAUAUUGCACAAUGGGAGGAAGCCUGAUGCGGCAACGCCGCGUGCGGGAUGACGGCCUUCGGGUUGUAAACCGCUUUCGCCUGUGACGAAGCGUGAGUGACGGUAAUGGGUAAAGAAGCACCGGCUAACUACGUG
This 468-nucleotide ribosomal RNA is filed under the name uncultured bacterium. Its description in RNAcentral is "partial 16S ribosomal RNA". It matches the Rfam family "Bacterial small subunit ribosomal RNA", at positions 28 to 507 of the family's 1533-position model. The record is from RNAcentral.